GACGAACGCUGGCGGCGUGCUUAACACAUGCAAGUCGUACGGUAAGGCCCUUUCGGGGGUACACGAGUGGCGAACGGGUGAGUAACACGUGAGUAACCUGCCCACCACUUUGGGAUAACGCUAGUAAACUGGUGCUAAUACUGGAUAUGUGCUCCUGCUGCAUGGAGGGGGUUGGUAAGCUCCGGCGGUUGUGGAUGGACUCGCGGCCUGUCAGCUUGUUGGUGGGGUAGUGGCCUACCAAGGCGGCGACGGGUAGCCGGCCUGAGAGGGUGACCGGCCACAUUGGGACUGAGAUACGGCCCAGACUCCUACGGGAGGCAGCAGUGGGGAAUAUUGCACAAUGGGCGCAAGCCUGAUGCAGCAACGCCGCGGGCGGGAUGACGGCCUUCGGGUUGUAAACCGCUUUCAGCAGGGACGAAGCUUUUUGUGACGGUACCUGCAGAAGAAGCACCGGCUAACUACGUG
RNAcentral lists this ribosomal RNA (465 nucleotides) under uncultured bacterium. RNAcentral describes it as "partial 16S ribosomal RNA". It matches the Rfam family "Bacterial small subunit ribosomal RNA", at positions 28 to 507 of the family's 1533-position model. The record is from RNAcentral.